This 4913-nucleotide long non-coding RNA is filed under the name Salmo salar (Atlantic salmon). Its description in RNAcentral is "lncRNA (ENSSSAG00000095677.1, ENSSSAG00000097609.1)". Lineage: Eukaryota; Metazoa; Chordata; Actinopteri; Salmoniformes; Salmonidae. The record is from RNAcentral.
UUUGAUUUUAACCAUGUGGAUGGAUAUACAUAUUUCCUCCCAAGUAAUUGUUCUCAUUAUGUCAAACCAUAAGAGUAGAGUCAGGCUGUGUAUUUCUUUGCCAAUGUCUCAGGGCAAACGGAAUUAAAUGAAAUAAAAAAAAUGUUUACUCACAGUAAAUGUCCUUGAUUGCUUUACCAACUUGAGGCCAACACAUUAUUCAUCACCAGUCAUUUUAAAUAAUAUACAGUAUCUCCCUAUGGAGGGUCAAAUGUUAAUGUUGGGCCUGUCUAGUCAUGUCUUGACAAUCAAUUCUUACUUUGUCGAGUAGGCCAGUGUUAGACAACUGUGGCUAAAACAAACAUCUUAGAAUUUAGGGCGCCCUCUGUCGGUUUCAGUUGCGUCUAGAUUUUCGCUGUCAAUGCACCUGCGUCAGGUAAGGUUAGCUCUGGGCUCCUACGCAAUCUCUUCGUCAUCGGAGCGGAUCCAAAACAGUGGGAAGUAGUGCCGCGUUCAAAACAACUGGGAACUCGGAAAAAAAUACGAUGUUAAAUCAUGACGUCAUUGAUCUUCAGGUCGGAAAGUCGGAGUUGUAUAGGCCCGAGUUCCAUAGUUGGAAUUUGGUUUGAUGACCGUUCAAAUCGUUUUUUUCCAGUCGAGCUCGUUUUUUUCAGAGUUCCCAGUUGUUUGAAACUCACUGAAAUCGGAAGUCGAAGAUUUCCGAGUUCCGAGCUCCCAAUUCUUUUGAACGCGGCAUAGGCUAUUGUUUAUUAUCACCUUCCGGAUUCUUAGAAACUUCCCCUGUUACAGACCCGCCACCGGUAAGGAAUAUUUACCCUGUUUAGAGGUCUCUCAGCUAAAGACUUCGUAGGAUCUAACGGUGUAGACCUAUCCGAUACACUGUAUCGUGAGUGUAAUGUAAUCCUAAUACUUAUCUGUUCAAUGGAGGAACCAUUAUUUUUUGCUUGCGGGGAUUUGGUCGACUGGUCUGUCCAAACUGCUUGGGAACAGAAUGACGCCGAGGUGGACAGUGCGUUUGGAGACUGGAGUUCUGCCUGUAAUGGCAACAAGUCGGAUGCAGUUGAAAGAUCUUCAUCUCUGUCUUCACCCAUGAACAUGGACAUCUCUAAACUCUCAACAAAGCUGGAGAAUGGCAAUGUGAAGAAAUCAUGUGUAGUUUUCCAGGAGUGCUUCCAGGGCUUGGGUGAAUCUAAAGAGGCCAACUGUACUGUACGAUCUCUGUCCCAGCUGAUAGAAAACACGCAGCCUUUUCAACCGACAGCUACAAUAUGUGACUGUGGCAGCUUGUGGAGCCAUCUGGUGGCUGAGCCCAGCAGGCUGAGGCUGUCAGAGCCAAAGCCCAGCUUACACUGCCACAGCCACAGCAGAAUGGUUUCUGCCCUCAGAAUCACACCUUCAAAUUGCAUCUCUGACCAGUGUGAGUCAGACUUUUUGGAAGAUCAUGAAGGAACUACAGAGACCUCUUGCCCCCCUGCUGCUGCUGCUCUCAUCAAAACCAAGCUGCUGGCCCCCUCCUCCUGCCAUGGUGACACCCCAGCUUUCCUCUACCAAAUCUCCCAGCAGUGGCUGACUCAAUGCAGCAUCCAGCUGCAGCCUCAGCACCACAAGAAGUCUCCUGCACUGAACUAUGGAGAAGGAUAAGAUGAAGAUGCUGCUUAGCAUAGCCCUACUGUACUGUUGUAGAUGGGUGAAACGGGUUGGGUUGUUACCCGGGUGAGAACAAAGUAUACACUUUUCGCAACAUUUUAUUUAUACAGAUUGUAAAGAAAAUACAUUCUAUGAUAUUGUGUAUUUAGUUUGCAGGCAUGUUCCUGGUUUUAUAUAUAAUAUUUUGAUACGGAGUGUAGUUACAGUGAUACUAUAAAAUGUUCUAUACAUUUAUUGAGUUAUUUAUUCAGUGUAACACCUGUUUUAUACCACUAUUGUCAAGAGCAGAGGGAACAAUGCAAUUCUUUGGAAGACUUUGGAAGUCACAGUCACAGCACUCCACUAGAGGGCAUACUGGCUUCCUCAUAAGUCCCAAACCCCAUUUUGCAAACAUACAGUGCAUUCAGAAAGUAUUCAGACCCCUUGCCUUUUCCACAUCUUGUUACGUUACAGCCUUAUUCUAGAAUUGAUUACAAUUUUUUUUUCUCAUCAAUCUACACACACUACCCCAUAAUGACAAAGCAAAAACAGGUUUUUAGAAUUGUUGCCAAAGGUAUUAAAAACAGAAAUACCUUAUUUACAUAAGUAUUCAAAUCAAAAAAUCUAAUCAAAGUUAAUUUGUCACAUGCGCCGAAUACAACAUGUGUAGACCUUCAGACCAUGCACCUCAAAACAAGCUUUGUCCAUAUAUUUUGUUUUGUAGAAUACCCAUCUCUAAGUCUCACUGUAGAAACCUGGCUUGCAAUCUAGGGCAGUGCAUGGUCCAAAAAAAAGUAAUUGGGUGUGGCUUCCCACUGUGGAUACAUUUUUAUGGAAAUUUGGAUUGCUUGUGCUUUAACUAUUUAUGGCAUUAUUGAUUAUUGGUGUCCUCCACUUCUUAAUAUUUCCAUAGUUUGGUCCUCUGUUUUUCUUUACCUGCCUUAAUACUCAAAACCAUAGACAUGUUUCAUGUCAUUGGCCAUUUUGUAAGUAAGACUGCAGGGUAUCAUUGUGCUAAUCAGCACAAACCAGUAUAACAGAGAGGUUAUUACAUGUGUACAACUGCAUCUCAGACAGUUCUCUUCCAUUUCAACCACCAGGAUUUGCUUUUCCAGACAGAGAAAACAAGGGGUUAGUGGAGGUGCACACUCCUCCCACAUGUCACUUGUUUGGCUGGCGGGUUGAGUCUAUGAAUAGAAUUGAAAUACAGAGAGAAAAACCAUCACCUUUUUCCAAGUAGGCCCCUCCUACAUGACAAGUGAUGUAGCCCUGCACUUCCCUCCCCCUCUCUCUCUCUACUAUCUCCUCUCAGCUAGUGCACUAGCGGGAUGUCAGAGUGAAUUUAGAUUACAUCUCGUUGCAGUGCAGUGGCGGAAAAAAGGCAAAGGGACAUGGAGGAAGGAAGGAUGAUCCUGGGUUGUAUUGUGCCUUAUAUGUCACUCGCACACACAGAGGAAGGCAUGGGUGCAUUGGACCAUCUUUGUUUUGGGUGGGCUGGUCAAAAUAAAUUAAUAAUACAAAUAAUUGACUUUUUUAAGGGAGAUGGCCCUUGGGCCUGUUAAGAUUAUGAUUUUUGUGCAAUUUCUCUAUUGUCAUAUUAAUAUAUUUGAGCAUUUGCCUGAUCAGUGGACAACGGCCAGUCCCCCCUACCAAGAUAGGCCUGCCCGGUUUUCUGUUUGGCUGAGGUGGUGCAAAAUUCACGUUCAAUGUCAAACGCACAUCAGCAAAGAGACCUGCUCUGACUCUCUUGUCAUCAGUCAGCCCAGAUCAUGGCUUGUAAAAAACAGAAAGGUAGUGCUAAAAAAAGUUAAGAGACCAAAAAAAGGCUUGAGACCACAGCUGCUUAAUGUAUGAAAUAAAUCAACUAAUUUUCUAAAAGUUCUGGUUCGGCUGGUCCAAGUGUUGUGACAGAUGCUGCUACAGAAGACAGUGCAGUCGAGGUAUGGAGAAAGCCUAGCUACUGUGUUACUCUUUCUCAGUUUUCAUCCAAAUGCCCACAGAUUUUAAUGCGAAUAUUCAAAAAUCAGCAUAAAAACUCCAAGGGGUUUCCAUCAAAUUGACUUGUUGCGGAUAAAAGGCUGCGCAUGAUGAUGUAGUGCACAUAAUAAUACAUUUUCCAUUGCAUUUUUAACUUUACUGAUGAUUUUCUCACAAAAAAACAUGAGUUAUAUAGCGAGUGUGCCCACUGGUAUUGGCACGUGCUCUCUAGCCAACAGCUCUCAGACACUGUGCGAGUAGGCCAAUAGCCUAUGGAUGAGAUUAUUAUGGACAAGAUUAUUUCUAUUUGUCAAAUGGCAGCCAAGCAUCGAUGAUCAUGUCAUAAGACCCUUUAUGUUUAUUGGAAAGGAGCACAUCACCUUGCACUUUUCACCACCCUGUGAAGUUCAUAAUUUAUACUGAACAAAAAUAUAAACGCAACAUGUAAAGUGUUGGUCCCAUGUUUCAUGAGCUGAAAUAAAAGAUACCCGAAAUGUUCCAUUCACACAAAGUUUAUUUCUCUUAUCUUUUGUGCACAAAUGUGUUUACAUCCGUUAGUGAGCAUUUCUCCUUUGCCAAGAUAAUCCAUCCACCUGACAGGUGUGGCAUAUCAAGAAGCUGAUUAAACAGCAUGAUCAUUACACAGGUGCACCUUCUGCUGGGGACAAUAAAAGGCCACUAUUAUGUGCAGUUUUGUCACAACACAAUGCCACAGAUGUCUCAAGUUUUGAGGGAGAGUGCAAUUGGCAUGCUGACUGCAGGAAUGUCCACCAGAACUGUUGCCAGAAAAUGUAAUGUUAAUUUCUCUACCAUAAGCCGCCUCCUACGUCGUUUUAGAGAAUUUGGCAGUAUGUCCAACCGACCUCACAGCCGCAGACCACGUGUGUGGCGUCAUGUGGACGAGCGGUUUGCUGAUGUCAACAUUGUGAACAGAGUGCCCCAUGGUGGCGGUGGGGUUAUGCUAUGGGCAGGCAUAUGCUACGGACAACAAACACAAUUGCAUUUUAUCGAUAGCAAUUUGAAUGCACAGAGAUACCGUGACGAAAUUCUGAGGCCCAAUGUUUUUUCAGUUAUGUGACCAACAGAUGCAUAUCUGUAUUACCAGUCAUGUGAAAUCAAUAGAUUAGGGCCAUAUUAAUUGAUUUAAAUUGACUAUGUUCCUUAUAUGAACUGUAACUCAGUAAAAUCUUUGAAAUUGUUGCAUGUUGCAUUUAUAUUUUUGUUCAGUGUAAUAGCUAUUAACACUUAGGAGUGACAGGUAGACAGAGUGAUAGAGGAGAACAAGAAGAAGCAUAGACAGAUUGACAGAG